GGCUUCCUAGCUCAGCUGGUAGAGCGUGCACGUACAAAGCGUAGGCGGCGUCUAUGUGUGGGUUCGAAUCCCACUGAGGUUA
This 82-nucleotide transfer RNA is filed under the name Echinostoma caproni. It matches the Rfam family "tRNA". From Rfam's summary of the family: Transfer RNA (tRNA) molecules are approximately 80 nucleotides in length. Their secondary structure includes four short double-helical elements and three loops (D, anti-codon, and T loops). Further hydrogen bonds mediate the characteristic L-shaped molecular structure. tRNAs have two regions of fundamental functional importance: the anti-codon, which is responsible for specific mRNA codon recognition, and the 3' end, to which the tRNAs corresponding amino acid is attached (by aminoacyl-tRNA synthetases). tRNAs cope with the degeneracy of the genetic code in two manners: having more than one tRNA (with a specific anti-codon) for a particular amino acid; and 'wobble' base-pairing, i.e. permitting non-standard base-pairing at the 3rd anti-codon position. Lineage: Eukaryota; Metazoa; Platyhelminthes; Trematoda; Plagiorchiida; Echinostomatidae. The record is from Rfam by way of RNAcentral.